This 490-nucleotide ribosomal RNA is filed under the name uncultured bacterium. Its description in RNAcentral is "partial 16S ribosomal RNA". It matches the Rfam family "Bacterial small subunit ribosomal RNA", at positions 30 to 507 of the family's 1533-position model. The record is from RNAcentral.
AUUGAACGCUGGCGGCAGGCCUAACACAUGCAAGUCGAACGGUAACAGGAAGCAGCUUGCUGCUUCGCUGACGAGUGGCGGACGGGUGAGUAAUGUCUGGGAAGCUGCCUGAUGGAGGGGGAUAACCACUGGAAACGGUAGCUAAUACCGCAUAAUGUCGCAAGACCAAAGAGGGGGACCUUCGGGCCUCUUGCCAUCGGAUGUGCCCAGAUGGGAUUAGCUUGUUGGUGGGGUAACGGCUCACCAAGGCGACGAUCCCUAGCUGGUCUGAGAGGAUGACCAGCCACACUGGAACUGAGACACGGUCCAGACUCCUACGGGAGGCAGCAGUGGGGAAUAUUGCACAAUGGGCGCAAGCCUGAUGCAGCCAUGCCGCGUGUAUGAAGAAGGCCUUCGGGUUGUAAAGUACUUUCAGCGGGGAGGAAGGGAGUAAAGUUAAUACCUUUGCUCAUUGACGUUACCCGCAGAAGAAGCACCGGCUAACUCCGUG